Molecule: ribosomal RNA, 708 nt
Filed under: uncultured bacterium
Lineage: Bacteria
Description: bacterial SSU rRNA
Rfam family: Bacterial small subunit ribosomal RNA
Source: RNAcentral
CGUAGGUAACCUGCCCCGGAGCGGGGGAUAACAUUUGGAAACAGAUGCUAAUACCGCAUAACAACGAAAGCCACAUGGCUUUUGUUUGAAAGAUGGCUUUGGCUAUCACUCUGGGAUGGACCUGCGGUGCAUUAGCUAGUUGGUAAGGUAACGGCUUACCAAGGCGAUGAUGCAUAGCCGAGUUGAGAGACUGAUCGGCCACAAUGGAACUGAGACACGGUCCAUACUCCUACGGGAGGCAGCAGUAGGGAAUCUUCCACAAUGGGCGCAAGCCUGAUGGAGCAACACCGCGUGAGUGAAGAAGGGUUUCGGCUCGUAAAGCUCUGUUGUUGGAGAAGAACGUGCGUGAGAGUAACUGUUCACGCAGUGACGGUAUCCAACCAGAAAGUCACGGCUAACUACGUGCCAGCAGCCGCGGUAAUACGUAGGUGGCAAGCGUUAUCCGGAUUUAUUGGGCGUAAAGCGAGCGCAGGCGGUUGCUUAGGUCUGAUGUGAAAGCCUUCGGCUUAACCGAAGAAGUGCAUCGGAAACCGGGUGACUUGAGUGCAGAAGAGGACAGUGGAACUCCAUGUGUAGCGGUGGAAUGCGUAGAUAUAUGGAAGAACACCAGUGGCGAAGGCGGCUGUCUGGUCUGCAACUGACGCUGAGGCUCGAAAGCAUGGGUAGCGAACGGGAUUAGAUACCCUGGUAGUCCAUGCCGUAAACGAU